Small nuclear RNA from Ochotona princeps (American pika), 197 nucleotides. RefSeq annotates it as U2 spliceosomal RNA. The transcript has a single exon. NCBI's taxonomy places the organism in Eukaryota, Metazoa, Chordata, Mammalia, Lagomorpha, Ochotonidae. The record is from RefSeq and is a predicted model, not a curated record.
AUCGCUUCUCGGCCUUUUGGCUAAGAUCAAGUGUAGGAUUUUAGCUACUAAGCUACUGUGCUGGGCCUGGCAAAGUACUCUUACAAUGCUAUUCUACUUUAUAUAAAUUUGGGGUGGCAACACACAAAAAUAAUAUUCAUCAUUCCUUUUGUAAAGCAUAGUACAUUUAUAUAAUACAUGUAUUUUUUUUAAAUUCU